UAGGGAAUAUUACGCAAUGGGCGAAAGCCUGACGGAGCAACGCCGCGUGAGUGAUGAAGGUCUUCGGAUAGUAAAACUCUGUUAGCAGGGACGAACAAAUGUGUAAGUAACUAUGCACGUCUUGACGGUACCUAAUCAGAAAGCCACGGCUAACUACGUGCAAGCAGCGGCGGUAAUGCGGAGGUGGCAAGCGGUAUCCGGAAUUAUUGGGCGUAAAGCGCGCGUAGGCGGUUUUUUAAGUCUGAUGUGAAAGCCCACGGCUCAACCGGGGAGGGUCUAUUGAAACUGGAAAACUUGAGUGCAGAAGAGGAAACUGGAAUUCCAUGUGUAGCGGUGAAAUGCGCAGCGAUAUGGAGGAACACCAGUGGCGAAGGCGACUUUCUGGUCUGUAACUGACGCUGAUGUGCGAAAGCGUGGGGAUCAAACAGG
This 429-nucleotide ribosomal RNA is filed under the name Actinomycetes bacterium. RNAcentral describes it as "Actinobacteria bacterium partial 16S ribosomal RNA". It matches the Rfam family "Bacterial small subunit ribosomal RNA", at positions 355 to 776 of the family's 1533-position model. Lineage: Bacteria; Bacillati; Actinomycetota; Actinomycetes. The record is from RNAcentral.